RNAcentral lists this ribosomal RNA (254 nucleotides) under uncultured bacterium. RNAcentral describes it as "partial 16S ribosomal RNA". It matches the Rfam family "Bacterial small subunit ribosomal RNA", at positions 524 to 777 of the family's 1533-position model. The record is from RNAcentral.
GACAGAGGGUGCAAACGUUGCUCGGAAUUACUGGGCGUAAAGCGCACGUAGGCGGCUUUUUAAGUCGGGGGUGAAAUCCUGGAGCUCAACUCCAGAACUGCCUUCGAUACUGGAAAGCUCGAGUCCGGGAGAGGUGAGUGGAACUGCGAGUGUAGAGGUGAAAUUCGUAGAUAUUCGCAAGAACACCAGUGGCGAAGGCGGCUCACUGGCCCGGUACUGACGCUGAGGUGCGAAAGCGUGGGGAGCAAACAGGG